RNAcentral lists this ribosomal RNA (320 nucleotides) under uncultured eukaryote. Its description in RNAcentral is "partial 18S ribosomal RNA". It matches the Rfam family "Eukaryotic small subunit ribosomal RNA", at positions 1470 to 1796 of the family's 1831-position model. The record is from RNAcentral.
CCCCUAGAUGUUCUGGGCCGCACGCGCGCUACACUGAACAGUUCAACAAGUCUUAACCUUGGCCGAUAGGUCUGGGUAAUCUUUGAACGCUGUUCGUGAUUGGGAUAGACCUUUGCAAUUAUGGGUCUUCAACGAGGAAUUCCUAGUAAACGCAAGUCAUCAGCUUGCAUUGAUUACGUCCCUGCCCUUUGUACACACCGCCCGUCGCACCUACCGAUUGAAUGGUCCGGUGAAAUCUCGGGACGGCGGCUUGGUCGCUUGCGUCCGACUGCUGAAACUUGAUUAAACCAUGUCAUUUAGAGGAAGGUAAAGUCGUAACA